GAUGAACGCUGGCGGCGUGCCUAACACAUGCAAGUCGAACGAAACUUCCUUAUCACCGAGUGCUUGCACUCACCGAUAAAGAGUAGAGUGGCGUACGUGUGAUUAACACGUCGGCAAGCUGCCCUAAAGAGGGUGAUAACACUUGGAAACAGGUGCUAAUACCGCAUAAUGAUAGUUAGCGCGUUUUAACGGUUGAGAAGGUACCUGCACUACCGCUGUUUGAUGGGCCGGCGGUGCAUUAGCUAGUUUGUAGGGUAAAGGCUUACUAAGGCGAUGAUGCGUAUACGAAUUCAGAGGUUGGUAGCCCACCUGGGAGCUGAGACACGGACAAUACUACUACGAGACGCCGCAGUAGGGAAUGUUACACAAUGGGGGAGAGCAUGAUAGAGCAAGGUGGAGUGUGUGACGAUGAUCCUCGGAUCGUAAAGCCCUGUUGUUAGUGAAGAACCUGAGUCAGAUUAAACGUUGCGGUAUUGACGGUAACUGGCAAGAAAGCCCCGGCUAACUACGUG
RNAcentral lists this ribosomal RNA (512 nucleotides) under uncultured bacterium. RNAcentral's name for it is "partial 16S ribosomal RNA". It matches the Rfam family "Bacterial small subunit ribosomal RNA", at positions 28 to 507 of the family's 1533-position model. The record is from RNAcentral.